GGCGAGUUACGAUCCCGUGCGAGGUUAAGCUGAAGAGGCGGAGCCGCAGCGAAAGCGAGUCUGAAUAGGGCGUUUAGUACGUGGUCGUAGACCCGAAACCAGGUGAUCUACCCAUGUCCAGGGUGAAGUUCAGGUAACACUGAAUGGAGGCCCGAACCCACGCACGUUGAAAAGUGCGGGGAUGAGGUGUGGGUAGCGGAGAAAUUCCAAUCGAACCUGGAGAUAGCUGGUUCUCCCCGAAAUAGCUUUAGGGCUAGCCUUAAGUGUAAGAGUCUUGGAGGUAGAGCACUGAUUGGACUAGGGGUCCUCAUCGGAUUACCGAAUUCAGUCAAACUCCGAAUGCCAAUGACUUAUCCUUAGGAGUCAGACUGCGAGUGAUAAGAUCCGUAGUCAAAAGGGAAACAGCCCAGACCGCCAGCUAAGGUCCCAAAGUGUGUAUUAAGUGGAAAAGGAUGUGGAGUUGCUUAGACAACUAGGAUGUUGGCUUAGAAGCAGCCACCAUUUAAAGAGUGCGUAAUAGCUCACUAGUCGAGUGACUCUGCGCCGAAAAUGUACCGGGGCUAAAUACACCACCGAAGCUGCGGAUUGAUACCAAUGGUAUCAGUGGUAGGGGAGCGUUCUAAGGACAGUGAAGUCAGACCGGAAGGACUGGUGGAGUGCUUAGAAGUGAGAAUGCCGGUAUGAGUAGCGAAAGACGGGUGAGAAUCCCGUCCACCGAAUGCCUAAGGUUUCCUGAGGAAGGCUCGUCCGCUCAGGGUUAGUCAGGACCUAAGCCGAGGCCGACAGGCGUAGGCGAUGGACAACAGGUUGAUAUUCCUGUACCACCUCUUUAUCGUUUGAGCAAUGGAGGGACGCAGAAGGAUAGAAGAAGCGUGCGAUUGGUUGUGCACGUCCAAGCAGUUAGGCUGAUAAGUAGGCAAAUCCGCUUAUCGUGAAGGCUGAGCUGUGAUGGGGAAGCUCCUUAUGGAGCGAAGUCUUUGAUUCCCCGCUGCCAAGAAAAGCUUCUAGCGAGAUAAAAGGUGCCUGUACCGCAAACCGACACAGGUAGGCGAGGAGAGAAUCCUAAGGUGUGCGAGAGAACUCUGGUUAAGGAACUCGGCAAAAUGACCCCGUAACUUCGGGAGAAGGGGUGCUUUCUUAACGGAAAGCCGCAGUGAAUAGGCCCAAGCGACUGUUUAGCAAAAACACAGCUCUCUGCGAAGCCGUAAGGCGAAGUAUAGGGGGUGACACCUGCCCGGUGCUGGAAGGUUAAGGAGAGGGGUUAGCGUAAGCGAAGCUCUGAACUGAAGCCCCAGUAAACGGCGGCCGUAACUAUAACGGUCCUAAGGUAGCGAAAUUCCUUGUCGGGUAAGUUCCGACCCGCACGAAAGGUGUAACGAUUUGGGCACUGUCUCAACCAGAGACUCGGUGAAAUUAUAGUACCUGUGAAGAUGCAGGUUACCCGCGACAGGACGGAAAGACCCCGUGGAGCUUUACUGUAGCCUGAUAUUGAAUUUUGGUACAGUUUGUACAGGAUAGGCGGGAGCCUUUGAAACCGGAGCGCUAGCUUCGGUGGAGGCGCUGGUGGGAUACCGCCCUGACUGUAUUGAAAUUCUAACCUACGGGUCUUAUCGACCCGGGAGACAGUGUCAGGUGGGCAGUUUGACUGGGGCGGUCGCCUCCUAAAGUGUAACGGAGGCGCCCAAAGGUUCCCUCAGAAUGGUUGGAAAUCAUUCGUAGAGUGCAAAGGCAUAAGGGAGCUUGACUGCGAGACCUACAAGUCGAGCAGGGACGAAAGUCGGGCUUAGUGAUCCGGUGGUUCCGCAUGGAAGGGCCAUCGCUCAACGGAUAAAAGCUACCCCGGGGAUAACAGGCUUAUCUCCCCCAAGAGUCCACAUCGACGGGGAGGUUUGGCACCUCGAUGUCGGCUCAUCGCAUCCUGGGGCUGUAGUCGGUCCCAAGGGUUGGGCUGUUCGCCCAUUAAAGCGGUACGCGAGCUGGGUUCAGAACGUCGUGAGACAGUUCGGUCCCUAUCCGUCGUGGGCGUAGGAAAUUUGAGAGGAGCUGUCCUUAGUACGAGAGGACCGGGAUGGACGCACCGCUGGUGUACCAGUUGUUCUGCCAAGGGCAUAGCUGGGUAGCUAUGUGCGGAAGGGAUAAGUGCUGAAAGCAUCUAAGCAUGAAGCCCCCCUCAAGAUGAGAUUUCCCAUAGCGUAAGCUAGUAAGAUCCCUGAAAGAUGAUCAGGUUGAUAGGUUCGAGGUGGAAGCAUGGUGACAUGUGGAGCUGACGAAUACUAAUAGAUCGAGGACUUAACCAU
RNAcentral lists this ribosomal RNA (2297 nucleotides) under Bacillus anthracis (anthrax bacterium). RNAcentral describes it as "partial 23S ribosomal RNA". It matches the Rfam family "Bacterial large subunit ribosomal RNA", at positions 622 to 2925 of the family's 2925-position model. The record is from RNAcentral. Lineage: Bacteria; Bacillati; Bacillota; Bacilli; Caryophanales; Bacillaceae.